Pygocentrus nattereri (red-bellied piranha) is the source of this 271-nucleotide long non-coding RNA. Lineage: Eukaryota; Metazoa; Chordata; Actinopteri; Characiformes; Serrasalmidae. The record is from Ensembl.
UUUUUGUGUUUGAUUGGCACCUGUUUAAUUGGAGGGCAAAUUCGCUUCUAACAUGAUGGGAAUGUGGAGCCCAGCUGGAGAGCGAGCGAGUGAGAGAGAGACCGACCCCAGGGGAGCACAAUUAAAAGGGUUUUAGUGUUUGUUAAUGAAUUACAACGCCGGCUGAGCAGGCCAAGGUGCGACUCCAGCUGGUGCUUCAGGCUGCAGGUAGGUGACCGUCUCCUUUUUUCUGGCAGUUCCUCCUGGUCAAGUUCAACAGAACGAAAGGAAC